This 71-nucleotide transfer RNA is filed under the name Camelus bactrianus (Bactrian camel). It matches the Rfam family "tRNA". From Rfam's summary of the family: Transfer RNA (tRNA) molecules are approximately 80 nucleotides in length. Lineage: Eukaryota; Metazoa; Chordata; Mammalia; Artiodactyla; Camelidae. The record is from Rfam by way of RNAcentral. RNAcentral also lists the same sequence under 1 other name.
AGAGGAUAGCUCAGUGGUAGAGCACAUGCUUAGCAUGUGUGAGGUCCUGGGUUCAAUCCCCAGUACCUCCU